RNAcentral lists this ribosomal RNA (1368 nucleotides) under metagenome. RNAcentral describes it as "bacterial LSU rRNA". It matches the Rfam family "Bacterial large subunit ribosomal RNA", at positions 1555 to 2925 of the family's 2925-position model. The record is from RNAcentral.
GACAUAAUGCAACUAGCACAAUCUAAUAUGAUUCCGAAGUCCCACCAAGCAGAGUCAAGAAAAGCCCCGGGGAGGUUGAAGCAGACUGCCCGUACUAAAACUGACACAGGUAGGCGUGAUGAGUAUUCUCAGGCGCUCGAGAGAACGCUGGUAAAGGAACUCGGCAACAUGACCCCGUAACUUCGGGACAAGGGGUGCCCCUCACCUACGGGUGUGGGGGCCGCAGCGAAAAGGAUCUGGCGACUGUUUACUAAAAACACAGGUCUCUGCUAACGCGUAAGCGGACGUAUAGAGACUGACACCUGCCCGGUGCCGGUAAGUUAAGGAAGGGGGUUAACCGCAAGGUGAAGCCCGCAACCGAAGCUCCGGUAAACGGCGGCCGUAACUAUGACGGUCCUAAGGUAGCGAAGUUCCUUGUCGGGUAAGUUCCGACCUGCAUGAAUGGUGUAACGACCGGAUCACUGUCUCUACCAGCGACUCGGUGAAACUGUAAUUGUUGUGAAGAUGCAACAUACCCGCAGUUAGACGGAAAGACCCCGUGAACCUUUACUGCAGCUUAGUAUUGGGUUUAGGCCCAGCAUGUGUAGUGUAGCUGGGAGACUAUGAACGGUGCGUUCCGGCGCAUCGGGAGUCGCAAUGUGAAACACCAGCCUUGUUGUGCUUGAAUUCUAACCCCGUCCCGUGAAUCCGGGCGGAGGACAGUGCUAAGUGGGCAGUUUGACUGGGGCGGUCUCCUCCCAAAAAGUAACGGAGGAGCCCAAAGGUACCCUCAGGCCGGUCGGCAAUCGGCCUAAGAGCGCAAAGGUAUAAGGGUGCUUGACUGCGAGACCCAUAAGUCGAGCAGGUGCGAAAGCAGGGCUUAGUGAUCCGGCGGUGCUGGAUGGAAAGGCCGUCGCUCAACAGAUAAAAGGUACUCCGGGGAUAACAGGCUUAUCUCCCCUGAGCGUUCACAGCGGCGGGGAGGUUUGGCACCUCGAUGUCGGCUCAUCGCAUCCUGGGGGUGGAGAAGCUCCCAAGGGUUUGGCUGUUCGCCAAUGAAAGCGGUACGUGAGCUGGGUUUAGACCGUCGUGAGACAGGUCGGUCCCUAUCUGCUGCGGGCGCAGGAGACUUGCGGAGCUUUCUCCCUAGUACGAGAGGACUGGGAGGGACGUACCUCUGGUGUGCCAGUUGUCACGCCCGUGGCAUCGCUGGGUAGCUACGUACGGCCCGGAUAAACGCUGAAGGCAUCUAAGCGUGAAACCCCCUCCAAGAUCAGGUCUCCCGUCGCAAGACAUAGGCUCCUGGAAGAACACCAGGUCGAUAGGCUGGAUGUGUAAACACAGUAAUGUGCUUAGCUGACCAGUACUAACAGCCGACCGCUUGACCAC